Molecule: ribosomal RNA, 501 nt
Filed under: uncultured bacterium
Lineage: Bacteria
Description: partial 16S ribosomal RNA
Rfam family: Bacterial small subunit ribosomal RNA
Source: RNAcentral
AUUGAACGCUGGCGGCAUGCCUUACACAUGCAAGUCGAGCGGAGAUGAGGUGCUUGCACCUUAUCUUAGCGGCGGACGGGUGAGUAAUGCUUAGGAAUCUGCCUAUUAGUGGGGGACAACAUUCCGAAAGGAAUGCUAAUACCGCAUACGUCCUACGGGAGAAAGCAGGGGAUCUUCGGACCUUGCGCUAAUAGAUGAGCCUAAGUCGGAUUAGCUAGUUGGUGGGGUAAAGGCCUACCAAGGCGACGAUCUGUAGCGGGUCUGAGAGGAUGAUCCGCCACACUGGGACUGAGACACGGCCCAGACUCCUACGGGAGGCAGCAGUGGGGAAUAUUGGACAAUGGGGGGAACCCUGAUCCAGCCAUGCCGCGUGUGUGAAGAAGGCCUUAUGGUUGUAAAGCACUUUAAGCGAGGAGGAGGCUACUGAGACUAAUACUCUUGGAUAGUGGACGUUACUCGCAGAAUAAGCACCGGCUAACUCUGUGCCAGCAGCCGCCGUAA